Long non-coding RNA from Mangifera indica (mango), 460 nucleotides. RefSeq lists it as uncharacterized. The record is from RefSeq and is a predicted model, not a curated record. NCBI's taxonomy places the organism in Eukaryota, Viridiplantae, Streptophyta, Magnoliopsida, Sapindales, Anacardiaceae. The transcript has 2 exons.
UAUAAAAGUGAAUUUGUUGUUUCGUCUCCCCCAGAUCCAGUCAUCAAUAAUAAGCUACAGAUGAAAUGGAUUCGUCAUGGUGUCACACUCAUGUCGAUGCCAUGCGGUGCACGCGAAUCUUUGACAAAAUAAGGAGGCUAAUUGCCCAUACAGCUCAUUCUGUCUGUGAGGAUGAUUGAAUUUGGGCAACCAAAAAUCAAUGGCUGGAUGUACAUAUUCCAACGUCUACGGCGUUCUUUGGGUCUUUCGAGACAUAAAGAGCCCACCAGAUGUAUGAAUAAAUGUGAAGGGGGGGUACCACUUUGAAAACGCUGAAGUGGCUUCUGUUCCAUUCUCUCUCUGUGAAUGUUACAAUUCAAUUAGCCUGAGUUGUGUAUUUGGAAUUGCAAGGGUUGCUUUAGUGUCUACCAACAAGAUUUCGUAUAUAAAAAGAAUAUGUAUUUAAUCUUUUGAUUAAAAA